AAGAAUAUGUGUACGAUCCGUGGUAAUGUAUGGUUGGUGGUACUGUAUGUUAAUAGGGUGUGAAGUUGGCAUGUAUGUAGUUUGUCUUGCCUUGAAACAGAUUUUACAUAUAAUCAUUUGGUUUUCAGAAUACGUUGUGUAUAGGUUAAAAGAAUGGUCGAGCUAGAAUGUGCCGUGUUGAUAGGGUCAGGGGAUUGUGACAAGUACCUCAAGUCUUACAAAGUACUCAAAGAUUAAUAUCAUUCAUCCAGAGGAAAAUUACAUACUGCAAGAAAAAAUUAAGAAAAUGCAAACUUUACUAGCAAAGAAGGAAAAGUCAGAUGAACUGUUGUACAAAGAGCUAGGAGAAAAGGAAAAGUCCAACGAAUUGUUGUGCAAAAUGCUAAGAGAAGAGAAGAAGUCCAACGAAUUGUUGUGUGAAAUGCUAAGAGAAAAGGAAAAGUCCGAAGAAUUUUUAUACAAAAAGCUAUAGGAGAAGGAAAAACAAAGGCUGAAAGAUUUGUUAUUACAGAAACAGCUUCAGGACGAGAAGGACGUACAGAACAAAGUCCUGGUGGAAGAACUUUGGAAAGAAUUUUCAGCAAAAGUAGAUGGUUUUAAAAUUCAGCUAACAAGACAAGUGCAGGGCCUGCAGGAAGAAAAGAUCAAAAUAGAGAAUUAUAUGAGAGGACUGUCUAAGAAGGAGGGAACAUCAGCUAAAAACUUAAAACGAAUGCAGGAGGUACUUCAGAAAGUAAAAAUAGAUUUGUCCAAUACUGAAGGAAAGAAUGAGUAUCUUGUAUAAAAAUAUUGAUUUUGACGUGACUAUUUUUUUUUUGCUUACCGACCGAUACACUAUUAUAUUAUAUAUUUCCUAAUUGAUGUAAUAUUUUGUUUAACUUGUUUUUCUCAAAAAUAAAUAGUUAGGUGCUAAUCUUUCUGUGUUUUAAUAGAACAUAAGUACAACACCUUAGGCUUAUGUAGUGCUGUGAAAUUUCAAAUACGUGUAAAUUGAGGUUAUUUUAUAGUUUUGAAUAUUUUUAGUGUAGUAGUGUGUAUUAUGAGUUGUGCCUUAAACUAAAUAGAUCUGUUUGUUGAUUAAGUGAAAUUUUUAAGUUAAAUAGUUUGGUGAAUUCAUCUCCUUUCCAUUUUCUUUGUGGAAAUACGUGAGUGAAGUGCAAGUGAAUUGGGGUUACUUUUGGUUAUUUGGGGUAUUGUGUGCUGUGAGUGGCAUUAAGUGACAUAAUUCUAUUUGUGG
This is a non-coding RNA of Zootermopsis nevadensis, 1237 nucleotides long. NCBI's taxonomy places the organism in Eukaryota, Metazoa, Arthropoda, Insecta, Blattodea, Termopsidae. The record is from RefSeq and is a predicted model, not a curated record.